GGAGGCAUGGCUCAUUGGUACAGCAUCUGCUUUGCAUGCAGAAGAUCCCAGUUCAAUCCCUGGCAUCUCCA
This 71-nucleotide transfer RNA is filed under the name Sphaerodactylus townsendi. RNAcentral describes it as "tRNA-Ala". It matches the Rfam family "tRNA". Rfam says of the family: Transfer RNA (tRNA) molecules are approximately 80 nucleotides in length. The record is from RNAcentral. Lineage: Eukaryota; Metazoa; Chordata; Lepidosauria; Squamata; Sphaerodactylidae.